CUGAGCAUCCCGGGAGGGCGGGGCCCCCAGACAGGAAGCGCCGUGAGUGCCCGCGUGGAGCGGAGCUCCGCCUCCUGCGACCCGCCCCCGACCGGGCUGGGGGCGGGUGGGGACUUUGGGCUCCCGGGCUGUCCCCGCCGUUAGCUCGCUCUGAUUCAAAACGAGGUAGACCAGAAAAAAUAAAAAGUACAGUCAAUAAAGUAAAACGAGCUAUGCCAGAAGAAAUCCUGAAAAGCUGGGCGAGGACAAAGUUCACGGGAAGGCGGACACCUUGAGACCAAGUGCCCCGUCCCCGGGAGAGGCGGCCACACCCGUGAACAGCACGGUUCACACCGGGGCCGCUUCACGCUGCCGUUGUCUCCCCGUCUCAAGGGCUCCUCUGACUCACCGGGACAACUGACAUCGGGGCCCGGACAGAGCGAAGUUUCCAGUGUGCUGUCCACCAUCACCCGGGCCCGGGCCCCCGCCUCACAUGCCCACCUGGGCCCCCACGAGGGGACCCGCCAGCACCGCGAACGGACGCGGCCCUACCUCUCCAAACCACAGCAGCGGCAGGACCACCGGCUCGAUGCUCCCCGUUUGUCUGGAAAUGAGCAAGACACGGGAGAUGCCUGGAAUGCAGAUGCAAUGGCUGGAGCUCCAGCAACUAUUUGGGUCAGAGGCGACCUCGAGAAUGGAAGCAAUGUCCAAGAAAACAGAACAGAAGGAUGGAACUUGGACCAUGGAUGUCUUUGGGGAGCUGCCACACUGGGACUGUCUCCCUGCAGACAUCUUCUAAAAGGAGAUUUAAAAAAUAGCAAUAAACCUUUGUCCCAUUUGA
Molecule: long non-coding RNA, 820 nt
Organism: Lemur catta (Ring-tailed lemur)
Lineage: Eukaryota; Metazoa; Chordata; Mammalia; Primates; Lemuridae
Exons: 2
Source: RefSeq, a predicted model, not a curated record